Perca flavescens (yellow perch) is the source of this 225-nucleotide long non-coding RNA. RefSeq lists it as uncharacterized. The transcript is spliced from 3 exons. NCBI's taxonomy places the organism in Eukaryota, Metazoa, Chordata, Actinopteri, Perciformes, Percidae. The record is from RefSeq and is a predicted model, not a curated record.
GGAUGGUGGAUCAGGAAAGACAGGGGAAGGCAACAGUGGAGAAGAGCACAGGCAAGGAGUGAAUGAGACAGACAUGAGGUCGGCGAUGGCUAGAGAUGAGCCCAGUGAUGACAUCAGUGUGACAGUGUUUCUGCUGCUAACCUGACCCUGACUCUGCAGCAGUCCUUCGUGCCCUCCGGGUGAAGAGUCUUAAUGGAGGCCGACCGCGGCUGCUGUCAGAGCGCU